RNAcentral lists this ribosomal RNA (484 nucleotides) under uncultured bacterium. RNAcentral describes it as "bacterial SSU rRNA". It matches the Rfam family "Bacterial small subunit ribosomal RNA", at positions 30 to 507 of the family's 1533-position model. The record is from RNAcentral.
AUUGAACGCUGGCGGAAUGCUUUACACAUGCAAGUCGAACGGCAGCACGGACUUCGGUCUGGUGGCGAGUGGCGAACGGGUGAGUAAUAUAUCGGAACGUGCCCAGUCGUGGGGGAUAACGUAGUGAAAAUUACGCUAAUACCGCAUACGAUCUAUGGAUGAAAGCGGGGGAUCGCAAGACCUCGCGCGAUUGGAGCGGCCGAUAUCAGAUUAGGUAGUUGGUGAGGUAAAGGCUCACCAAGCCAACGAUCUGUAGCUGGUCUGAGAGGACGACCAGCCACACUGGAACUGAGACACGGUCCAGACUCCUACGGGAGGCAGCAGUGGGGAAUUUUGGACAAUGGACGCAAGUCUGAUCCAGCCAUUCCGCGUGCAGGACGAAGGCCUUCGGGUUGUAAACUGCUUUUGUACAGAACGAAAAGGUUUCUAUUAAUACUAGGAGCUCAUGACGGUACUGUAAGAAUAAGCACCGGCUAACUACGUG